Molecule: ribosomal RNA, 119 nt
Filed under: Pteropus alecto (black flying fox)
Lineage: Eukaryota; Metazoa; Chordata; Mammalia; Chiroptera; Pteropodidae
Source: RNAcentral
GUCUACGGCCAUGCCACCCCGAACAAGCCCGAUCCCAUCUGAUCUCAGAAGCUCAGCAGGGUCGGGCCUAGUUAGUACUUGGAUGGGAGACCACCUAUGAAGACUAGGUGCUGUAGGCG